GGUUUACGGUUUGAUUGUUGCAUUAUGUUUUGGGUCAAGUAUUUAAGUGGGAUGUGUAGUCCAUUGAAUAAGCUUCCCAUAGAAUCCAAGGUCAUUUUUGGACUUCAAGUCUAAGAGCUAUGGUAAGAGCCUCAAUUAGCACAUUAGUUUUGUAAAAACAUGCAUCAAAAUUCACUGGUGAACAGCCAAGAAGUUGCACGAAUAGUGACUCAAGAGAGCAUGUUUUGGGCUACCAAACAUUGGAUUUCUCUGGUGCUCCACCAAAGAAAGCACAAGAGUUUUAGAAAUUGUCGAAAAAUAGUUGUUGAAGGUUGGCCCAUAUGACUAGCCAUGGACUCGAUCUUACCAUCUGUACUGCAGUAGCGCGAUAUAAGAGCUUAUAAUGGCUAGUUUUUUUUUGUUCUCCUUUAUGUAUAGAGGGAUGACUAGCUAUGGGGCAACUCUCGGCCACUUCGAUAUAUUGUAUACUUGGUGAGAGCCUCAUUUUAACCACCCCUCUCAGUCUGCAAUGAAAGUAUAAUGUGGAGAGUGGGUGAGUACUCUAAUAUGGUGCAUUGAGAGAUUAAUCGAGUGAUACUAGGUGAUUGUGUUCUCCUUUAUGUAUAGAGGGAUGACUAGCUAGGGCAACUCUCGAACACUUUGAUAUAUUGUAUACUUGGUGAGAGCCUCAUUUUAACCACCCCUCUCAGUCUGCAACGAAAGUAUAAUUUGGAGAGUGGGUGAGUGCUUCUAAUAUAGUGCAUUGAGAGAUUAAUCGAGUGAUACUAGGUGAUUGCUUUGCAAGCGGUUUUUCUUGUUACUCUUGGAGAUUAUUGCCUCCUAGAAAGUUGAAGGUUGUGAUAUCGUGAAAGCACUGCAAGGAGAUUGUACAGUCACUCUAUAGUUUGUUUUGUGAUGGGCUCUUGUGCUUGUCCCCACCAGAGAAAGGCAAAGAGUAACUUUAGUAUAAACAUGGUGUGGAGUGGUUCGCGAUGAAGAUUGAACCCACCUCAACGUGGGUUAUGGGUGACGGGCAAGUCACCAAGACCAAGAGAAAGAACUCAAUGUCUUCAAUUGUGGUUUGAUCACUUGAGCUCUUUACAUUCAAGUUAUUUACAUUGUUAGAAAUAUUUUUUUGAGUAGUUAGAAAUAUAAUGGCUUGCUUGUCACCAUAGGAUUGCAAAACUCGACUUAGACUUAGGGACCUUGUGGACUCAAUACCUAGGGGUGUGGUCAUGUUUUGGCUACUAGUUUUAAUUGCACACGCUUAUUGUCUUGGUCUUGCUAAUGGUUUUUAAACUAAUUGUUUACCCCUCCUCUAGUCGGCCUUCUUGAUCCUAAUAGCUAUUGACAUGCACGUCGCCUAGCACUUAAAAAGCAACAUCAUUGAGUCAUGACAUAGAUUUAUUAAAAUGUGAACAUCUACAUUAAGG
This 1412-nucleotide long non-coding RNA is filed under the name Sorghum bicolor (sorghum). RNAcentral's name for it is "long non-coding RNA (SBIC_LNC018121)". The record is from RNAcentral. Lineage: Eukaryota; Viridiplantae; Streptophyta; Magnoliopsida; Poales; Poaceae.